UACGUAGGGUGCGAGCGUUGUCCGGAAUUACUGGGCGUAAAGGGUGCGCAGGCCGCGCGGGCAGUCAAAUGUGUAAUCCAGGGGCUCAACCCCUGAACUGCGCUUGAUACUUCCGCGCUCGAGCUUUGGAGAGGAGUCUGGAAUUCUCGGUGUAGCAGUGAAAUGCGUGGAUAUCGAGAAGAACACUUAGGGCGUAGGCAAGACUCUGGACAAAUGCUGACGCUCAUGCACGAAGGCUAGGGUAGCGAACGGG
Molecule: ribosomal RNA, 253 nt
Filed under: uncultured bacterium
Lineage: Bacteria
Description: partial 16S ribosomal RNA
Rfam family: Bacterial small subunit ribosomal RNA
Source: RNAcentral